Molecule: ribosomal RNA, 721 nt
Filed under: uncultured bacterium
Lineage: Bacteria
Description: bacterial SSU rRNA
Rfam family: Bacterial small subunit ribosomal RNA
Source: RNAcentral
AGAGUUUGAUCCUGGCUCAGAUUGAACGCUGGCGGCAUGCCUUACACAUGCAAGUCGAACGGCAGCGCGGGGCAACCUGGCGGCGAGUGGCGAACGGGUGAGUAAUAUAUCGGAACGUACCCUGGAGUGGGGGAUAACGUAGCGAAAGUUACGCUAAUACCGCAUACGAUCUAAGGAUGAAAGUGGGGGAUCGCAAGACCUCAUGCUCCUGGAGCGGCCGAUAUCUGAUUAGCUAGUUGGUAGGGUAAAAGCCUACCAAGGCAUCGAUCAGUAGCUGGUCUGAGAGGACGACCAGCCACACUGGAACUGAGACACGGUCCAGACUCCUACGGGAGGCAGCAGUGGGGAAUUUUGGACAAUGGGCGCAAGCCUGAUCCAGCCAUGCCGCGUGAGUGAAGAAGGCCUUCGGGUUGUAAAGCUCUUUCGGCAGGAACGAAAUGGUUCGUGCUAACACCACGGACUGAUGACGGUACCUGAAGAAGAAGCACCGGCUAACUACGUGCCAGCAGCCGCGGUAAUACGUAGGGUGCAGGCGUUAAUCGGAAUUACUGGGCGUAAAGCGUGCGCAGGCGGUUUCUUAGGUCAGAUGUGAAAUCCCCGGGCUUAACCUGGGAACUGCGUUUGAAACUGGGAGACUUGAGUGUGGCAGAGGGGGGUGGAAUUCCACGUGUAGCAGUGAAAUGCGUAGAUAUGUGGAGGAACACCAAUGGCGAAGGCAGCC